Molecule: transfer RNA, 54 nt
Filed under: Cervus canadensis sibiricus (Altai wapiti)
Lineage: Eukaryota; Metazoa; Chordata; Mammalia; Artiodactyla; Cervidae
Description: partial tRNA-Thr
Source: RNAcentral
UAAUAUACUGGUCUUGUAAACCAGAAAAGGAGAGCAACCAACCUCCCUAAGAAU